Molecule: long non-coding RNA, 299 nt
Filed under: Amborella trichopoda
Lineage: Eukaryota; Viridiplantae; Streptophyta; Magnoliopsida; Amborellales; Amborellaceae
Description: long non-coding RNA (ATRI_LNC004189)
Source: RNAcentral
UCUUAUUCCCCUCCAAAUGACUUUUUUAACUUAGGUGUUGUUUCUAUAAGUCCAUGUAGAAAUGAGUCCUCUCUUAAAAAUAUAUUUUUUGAGAUGGAUUUUCUGACCUGAUUUUUAAUACAUAAUUUCUAAUAUGGUAAUUAUGAAUAUAAAAAAAUAAAUAUAUUUUAAAAAUUAAAAUAAUAAUUUUAUGAAAAAAUAUUUGGACCAUUAAAUUUAACUGUUUUUUUAUGAACCACCCAUUUACGAUGGAUGCUUUACACCUUGUGAGACGCAAAAUGUUGAAAUGCAUCCCCCCC